RNAcentral lists this ribosomal RNA (1299 nucleotides) under metagenome. Its description in RNAcentral is "bacterial LSU rRNA". It matches the Rfam family "Bacterial large subunit ribosomal RNA", at positions 1611 to 2925 of the family's 2925-position model. The record is from RNAcentral.
AAAAAAGCCGCUAUUGUGUUUAAUGUACCCGUACCGUAAACCGACACAGGUGGAUGAGGAGAGAAUCCUAAGGCCGGCGGGAGAAGCAUUGUUAAGGAACUCGGCAAAAUGACCCCGUAACUUCGGGAGAAGGGGUGCUCUUAGAAAUAAGAGCCGCAGAGAAUUGGCCCAAGCAACUGUUUAGCAAAACACAGGUCUAUGCAAAACCGAAAGGUGAGGUAUAUGGGCUGACGCCUGCCCGGUGCUGGAAGGUUAAGAGGAGAGGUCAGAGCAAUCGAAGCCUUGAAUUUAAGCCCCAGUAAACGGCGGCCGUAACAAUAACGGUCCUAAGGUAGCGAAAUUCCUUGUCGGGUAAGUUCCGACCCGCACGAAAGGCGUAAUGAUUUGGGCACUGUCUCGACAAUGCACCCGGUGAAAUUGAAAUACCAGUGAAGAUGCUGGUUACCUGCGCCAGGACGGAAAGACCCCAUGGAGCUUUACUCUAGUUUGAUACUGGGAUUCGGUAUUGCAUGUACAGGAUAGGUGGGAGGCUGUGAAGCGAUGACGCCAGUUGUCGCAGAGCCGCUGUUGGGAUACCACCCCUGCAGUACUGGGUUUCUAACCUGCAGCCGUAAUCCGGCCGGGGGACAAUGUCUGACGGGGAGUUUGACUGGGGCGGUCGCCUCCGAAAGGGUAUCGGAGGCGCUCAAAGGUUCCCUCAGAAUGGUUGGAAACCAUUCGAAGAGUGCAAAGGCAGAAGGGAGCUUGACUGCGACACCGACGGGUGGAGCAGGUACGAAAGUAGGACUUAGUGAUCCGGUGGUAUGAAAGUGGGAUUGCCAUCGCUCAACGGAUAAAAGCUACCCUGGGAUAACAGGCUUAUCACUCCCAAGAGUUCACAUCGACGAAGUGGUUUGGCACCUCGAUGUCGGCUCAUCGCAUCCUGGGGCUGUAGUAGGUCCCAAGGGUUGGGCUGUUCGCCCAUUAAAGCGGUACGCGAGCUGGGUUCAGAACGUCGUGAGACAGUUCGGUCCCUAUCCGGCGUGGGCGUAGGAUAUCUGAGAGGAGCUGUCCUUAGUACGAGAGGACCGGGAUGGACUGACCUCUGGUGUACCGGUUGCACUGCCAAGUGCAUGGCCGGGUAGCCAAGUCGGGACGGGAUAAACGCUGAAGGCAUCUAAGCGUGAAGCCCCCCUCAAGAUGAGAUAUCCCAUAGAGUAAUCUAGUAAGACCCCUUGAAGACGACGAGGUAGAUAGGUGAAAGGUGGAAGCGUGGUGACAUGUGGAGCUGAUUCAUACUAAUAGGUCGAGGGCUUAAUA